GAAACGGAUCUGCUCCAUACAGCGCGUGGGAGAGGAGCUCUGCCCCGCGGAGAGUGGAUCACCAGGAUCCGCAUGUUACAAUGGGAUAUUCUGCACUUGCAUUGUCCAGCACUGGUCUUUAUUGAGCUGCUCAUCAUUUUCUAUAUACAGAGACGGAGUGAAAAAAAGACAUCAUUUCUGAAAAGCAAAAAUGUUGAACUC
RNAcentral lists this long non-coding RNA (201 nucleotides) under Struthio camelus australis. Its description in RNAcentral is "lncRNA (ENSSCUG00000016115.1)". The record is from RNAcentral. Lineage: Eukaryota; Metazoa; Chordata; Aves; Struthioniformes; Struthionidae.